RNAcentral lists this ribosomal RNA (250 nucleotides) under uncultured bacterium. RNAcentral describes it as "partial 16S ribosomal RNA". It matches the Rfam family "Bacterial small subunit ribosomal RNA", at positions 524 to 773 of the family's 1533-position model. The record is from RNAcentral.
UACGUAGGGUGCGAGCGUUAAUCGGAAUUACUGGGCGUAAAGCGUGCGCAGGCGGUUUUGUAAGACAGCUGUGAAAUCCCCGGGCUUAACCUGGGAACUGCGGUUGUGACUGCAAGACUGGAGUGUGGCAGAGGGGGGUGGAAUUCCACGUGUAGCAGUGAAAUGCGUAGAGAUGUGGAGGAACACCGAUGGCGAAGGCAGCCCCCUGGGUUAACACUGACGCUCAUGCACGAAAGCGUGGGGAGCAAAC